RNAcentral lists this ribosomal RNA (494 nucleotides) under uncultured bacterium. Its description in RNAcentral is "partial 16S ribosomal RNA". It matches the Rfam family "Bacterial small subunit ribosomal RNA", at positions 29 to 507 of the family's 1533-position model. The record is from RNAcentral.
ACGAACGCUGGCGGCGUGCCUAAUACAUGCAAGUAGAACGCUGAAGGAGGAGCUUGCUUCUCCGGAUGAGUUGCGAACGGGUGAGUAACGCGUAGGUAACCUGCCUGGUAGCGGGGGAUAACUAUUGGAAACGAUAGCUAAUACCGCAUAACAGUAGAUGUUGCAUGACAUUUGCUUAAAAGGUGCAAUUGCAUCACUACCAGAUGGACCUGCGUUGUAUUAGCUAGUUGGUGAGGUAACGGCUCACCAAGGCGACGAUACAUAGCCGACCUGAGAGGGUGAUCGGCCACACUGGGACUGAGACACGGCCCAGACUCCUACGGGAGGCAGCAGUAGGGAAUCUUCGGCAAUAGACGGAAGUCUGACCGAGCAACGCCGCGUGAGUGAAGAAGGUUUUCGGAUCGUAAAGCUCUGUUGUAAGAGAAGAACGAGUGUGAGAGUGGAAAGUUCACACUGUGACGGUAUCUUACCAGAAAGGGACGGCUAACUACGUG